GAUACCCGGGAUCGCCCCCCGUCAGCGAGGUUUCGCCCACGGGGGCGAGUGGC
This 53-nucleotide small RNA is filed under the name Rhodovulum euryhalinum. Its description in RNAcentral is "ffh sRNA". It matches the Rfam family "ffh sRNA". Lineage: Bacteria; Pseudomonadati; Pseudomonadota; Alphaproteobacteria; Rhodobacterales; Paracoccaceae. The record is from Rfam by way of RNAcentral.